This 490-nucleotide ribosomal RNA is filed under the name uncultured bacterium. Its description in RNAcentral is "partial 16S ribosomal RNA". It matches the Rfam family "Bacterial small subunit ribosomal RNA", at positions 30 to 507 of the family's 1533-position model. The record is from RNAcentral.
AUUGAACGCUGGCGGCAUGCCUUACACAUGCAAGUCGAACGGCAGCAUGAUCUAGCUUGCUAGAUUGAUGGCGAGUGGCGAACGGGUGAGUAAUACAUCGGAACGUGCCCUGUAGUGGGGGAUAACUAGUCGAAAGAUUAGCUAAUACCGCAUACGACCUGAGGGUGAAAGUGGGGGACCGCAAGGCCUCAUGCUAUAGGAGCGGCCGAUGUCUGAUUAGCUAGUUGGUGAGGUAAAGGCUCACCAAGGCGACGAUCAGUAGCUGGUCUGAGAGGACGAUCAGCCACACUGGGACUGAGACACGGCCCAGACUCCUACGGGAGGCAGCAGUGGGGAAUUUUGGACAAUGGGCGAAAGCCUGAUCCAGCAAUGCCGCGUGUGUGAAGAAGGCCUUCGGGUUGUAAGGCACUUUUGUCCGGAAAGAAAUGGCUCUGGUUAAUACCUGGGGUCGAUGACGGUACCGGAAGAAUAAGGACCGGCUAACUACGUG